RNAcentral lists this small nucleolar RNA (85 nucleotides) under Exophiala aquamarina CBS 119918. Its description in RNAcentral is "A. fimigatus snoRNA Afu_199". It matches the Rfam family "A. fimigatus snoRNA Afu_199". The record is from Rfam by way of RNAcentral. Lineage: Eukaryota; Fungi; Ascomycota; Eurotiomycetes; Chaetothyriales; Herpotrichiellaceae.
UGUCAUGAUGAGAGUCUUUUGAUUAGCUCUAGAUCAAGAGCUGCUUCUGUAGCGAUGAGCGACAUUUGCAUGUAUUACCUGAACC